UACGUAGGGUGCAAGCGUUAAUUGGAAUUACUGGGCGUAAAGCGUGCGCAGGCGGUUUUGUAAGUCUGACGUGAAAGCCCCGGGCUUAACCUGGGAAUUGCGUUGGAGACUGCAAGGCUUGAAUCUGGCAGAGGGGGGUAGAAUUCCACGUGUAGCAGUGAAAUGCGUAGAGAUGUGGAGGAACACCGAUGGCGAAGGCAGCCCCCUGGGUCAAGAUUGACGCUCAUGCACGAAAGCGUGGGGAGCAAACAGG
This 253-nucleotide ribosomal RNA is filed under the name uncultured bacterium. RNAcentral describes it as "partial 16S ribosomal RNA". It matches the Rfam family "Bacterial small subunit ribosomal RNA", at positions 524 to 776 of the family's 1533-position model. The record is from RNAcentral.